CCUGGCCUUGACAUACUAAGAACUUCCAGAGAUGGAUUGGUGCCUUCGGGAACUUAGAUACAGGUGCUGCAUGGCUGUCGUCAGCUCGUGUCGUGAGAUGUUGGGUUAAGUCCCGCAACGAGCGCAACCCUUUUCCUUAUUGCCAGCGGGUUAAGCCGGGAACUUUAAGGAUACUGCCAGUGACAAACUGGAGGAAGGCGGGGACGACGUCAAGUCAUCAUGGCCCUUACGGCCAGGGCUACACACGUGCUACAAUGGUCGGUACAAAGGGUUGCUACCUCGCGAGAGGAUGCUAAUCUCAAAAAGCCGAUCGUAGUCCGGAUCGCAGUCUGCAACUCGACUGCGUGAAGUCGGAAUCGCUAGUAAUCGCGGAUCAGAAUGCCGCGGUGAAUACGUUCCCGGGCCUUGUACACACCGCCCGUCACACCAUGGGAGUUUGUUGCACCAGAAGUAGGUAGUCUAACCGCAAGGAGGACGCUUACCACGGUGUGGCCGAUGACUGGGGUGAAGUCGUAACAAGGUAGGCGUAGAUGA
Molecule: ribosomal RNA, 534 nt
Filed under: uncultured bacterium
Lineage: Bacteria
Description: bacterial SSU rRNA
Rfam family: Bacterial small subunit ribosomal RNA
Source: RNAcentral